This 600-nucleotide long non-coding RNA is filed under the name Hordeum vulgare. Its description in RNAcentral is "long non-coding RNA (HVUL_LNC017398)". Lineage: Eukaryota; Viridiplantae; Streptophyta; Magnoliopsida; Poales; Poaceae. The record is from RNAcentral.
GGGGAUCCACAAGUGACCGACAGAGCUAGAGUAUGCAGCACUAGUACAGUAGAACAAACUUAUUGAGAUUUGUUGUAAAUAAUCAGCACUCUCUCAAGGCAAACAUAUAGUAUAUGGGCACUACACACGCUUACAAAAUACUACAAAUCGAUCGAUACAUAUAUAUAUAUAUAUAUACUUAUAACUGAAAACAAAACAGAGCAACUAAAAAACAGAGGGGGAAAGAGCAAUGACACAUUCUAAUUCAUCAAGUAGGGCUCAAAUGCGCGAGGUCAUCCGUCCAUUGAUGAGCAAACUAGCACCCGACGGUGAACCACCUCCGGCCAGCCGAUGGCCGGCCGCCGCGCUCCGCCUUCCUCUUCUCCUCCUCGCACGCGCACUUGGCCUCCUUCAGCUUCUUCACCUACCAUCAUUCCAAGUGAAAAUAUGUUUCAGCAGUUCGACAGCUCGAGAUCACUGGUGCAAUGCGAUGGCGUCCAUGGGUGGAUGGACGGAGCUCAUGUACCGUACCUUGGCUGGGUGGAUGGGCUUGUUGCGGUUGAGCUGGCGGGCGCCCCUCUGCAGGAUCUGCACGGCGCUCCAGCUGGCCCCGGCGCCGCC